CGGGAAUUUUGGGCAAUGGGCGAAAGCCUGACCCAGCAACGCCGCGUGAGGGAUGAAGUAUUUCGGUAUGUAAACCUCGAAAGAAUGGGAAGAAUAAAUGACGGUACCAUUUAUAAGCUCCGGCUAACUACGUGCAAGCAGCCGCGGUAAUACGUAGGGAGCAAGCGUUGUUCGGAUUUACUGGGCGUAAAGGGCGCGUAGGCGGCGCGGUAAGUCACUUGUGAAAUCUCUGAGCUUAACUCAGAACGGCCAAGUGAUACUGCUGUGCUAGAGUGCGGAAGAGGCAACCGGAAUUCUUGGUGGAGCGGUGAGAUGCGUAGAUAUCAAGAGGAACACCUGAGGCGAAGGCGGGUUGCUGGGCCGACACUGACGCUGAUGCGCGAAAGCCAGGGG
This 393-nucleotide ribosomal RNA is filed under the name uncultured bacterium. Its description in RNAcentral is "bacterial SSU rRNA". It matches the Rfam family "Bacterial small subunit ribosomal RNA", at positions 356 to 766 of the family's 1533-position model. The record is from RNAcentral.